AAAAAUGAAAAAUGGCUGCAUAGCGCCCCCUAUGGUGAAAACUCACCUGACGCCUGUACACUUUGUCAAAAUGACACAAAAUUUGACACACAUGUGUAUCUCAAUAAGAUCUACAAAAAAGUCAGUGCAGGCGUAUCUGUCAAAUGUACCGUUAAAGGGCUAUUUCGCAUUUUUUGCCGAUCCGCACACAUUGGAAUUUCGCUAACUCCUCCGAAGGCUUUCGUUCCACUGGCACCACAUUUGCUCAGGCCAAUCUACACCCCAUGGCCAUUAAAAGUUGUACAAAUCAUGAUGCUGCACCCCACGGUUUACGUUCUAGGGGGCGCCAAAGAUAACCCAAAAAUCCACAUUCUUAAAAGUCUUAUAACUUUUUAUUUUUCUCCUCACUGGCCUCCAAGUUUUCUAGGAUGAUGCAAUGUCCAGCCAUCAACACAUUUGUGAAGGAAUUUUUACUCCCCAAAAGAGCGCCCCCCCAUGGCAGGAGAAAAAAGUCCAUUUUUUCUUGUCCCCUAACAUGAAAAUACACAUUGUUGAGUGUCACGCCUAAACGCUUUGUCAUAUUGACAAAAAAUUUGACAAUCACGUGUAUCUCAAUAAGAUCUACAAAAAAGUCAUAGAGCGCGUAUCUGUAUAAUGUACGGUUAAAGGGCUAUUUUGCAUUUUUUGCCGAUCCGCACACAUUGGAAUUUCGCUAACUCCUCCGAAGGCUUUCGUUCCACCGGCACCAAAUUUGCUCAGGCCAAUCUACACCCCAUGGCCAUUAAAAGUUGUACAAAUCAUGACGCUGCAACCCACGGUGAAGGUUCUAGGGGGCGCCAAAGAUAACCCAAAAAUCCACAUUCUUAAAAGUCUUAUAACUUUUUAUUUUUGUCCUCACUGGCCUCCAAGUUUUCUAGGAUAAUGCAAUGUCCAGCCAUCAACACAUUUGUGAAGGAAAUUUUACUCCCCAAAAGAGCGCCCCCCCAUGGCAGGAGAAAAAAGUCUAUUUUUUCUUGUCCCCUAAGGUGAAAAUACACAUUGUUUAGUGUCACGCCUGUACGCUUUGGCAAAAUGACACAAAUAUUAACACACACAUGUAUCUCAAUAAGAUCUACGAAAAAGUCAAUGCGCGCAUAUCUGUCAAAUGUACGGUUAAAGGGUUAUUCCGCAUUUUUUGCCGAUCCGCACACAUUGGAAUGUGGCUAACUCCUCCGAAGGCUUUCGUUCCACUGGCACCACAUUUGCUCAGGCCAAUCUACACCCCAUGGCCAUUAAAAGUUAUUCAAAUCAUGACGCUGCACCCCACGGUUUAGGUUCUAGGGGGCGCCAAAGAUAACCCUAAAAUCCACAUAUUUAAAAGUCUUAUAACUUCUUAUUUUUGUCCUCACUGGCCUCCAGGUUUUCUAGGAUGAUGCAAUGUCCAGCCAUCAACACAUUUGUGAAGGAAUUUUUACUCCCCAAAAGAGCGCCCCCCCAUGGCAGGAGAAAAAAGUCCAUUUUUUCUUGUCCCCUAAGGUGAAAAUACAUAUUGUUGAGAUUCACGCCUAUACGCUUUGUCAUAUUGACACAAAAUUUGACAAUCACGUGUAUCUCAAUAAGAUCUACGAAAAAGUCAAUGGGCGUGUAUCUGUCAAAUGUACGGUUAAAGGGCUAUUUUGCAUUUUUUGCCGAUUCGCACACAUUGGAAUGUGGCUAACUCCUCCUAAGGCUUUCGUCCCACUGACACCAAAUUUGCUCAGGCCAAUCUACACCCCAUGGCCAUUAAAAGUUAUUCAAAUCAUGACGCUGCACCCCACGGCUCACGUUCUAGGGGGCGCCAAAGAUGACCCAAAUAUCCACAUUCUUAAAAGAAUCCACAUCCCCCCCCCCAUCCCCCAUCCCCCAUGGCAGGAGAAACAGUCAAGUUUUUCCUGCCCAUCACUCAAUGGCUCAAUCGCAUCGUUCUCCCGGCAACACCGUAACAAGGAGCAACUUGCCGUUUGGAUAUAUCCUAGCUGUGUUUGUGGCCUCACUCAUGGUCCAAACUUUUUUCAAAUAGGACAUGUAGUUUGUCUGCAGCGAGUGUUUUGGUAGAAACUGCGCCUCCCAUUCAUUAUAAUGGGAAAUGACCACAGACAAGUGCGCACACCAUCUUUGGACCUUGAGUGUGACGCGAUCGGGAGGGGGAGGCGGUCGCACUGGGGGCGGCGCAACGCGGCUCGGGCCCGCCAGUGCCCCAACGGGGCCCUAGUUAUUAGGGCCCGAGCGUAGCUGCUAAGCAGCUGCGAGAGCCCUAUUAUUCCCCAAGUGGUUUUUCUUUGUUUCUUUCUUUCUUUCUUUCUUUCUUUAGGGCCCGAGCGUAGCUGCUAAGCAGCUGCGAGAGCCCUAUUAUUCUCCAAGUGGUUUUUCUUUGUUUCUUUCUUUCUUUCUUUCUUUCUUUCUUCUUUUUCCUCCCCUUUGAACUGGAAAAUGGCCCACUUCCCACUGGCGAAAACUCAUGAAAUUUGGCAGGACGACCGGGCCUGGUGAAAAAUUCGAUAUUCUGAAGUCGCCCAAACAAUAAAAUGCAAAAUGGCUCCAUAGCGCCCCCUAAGGUGGAAAUUCACACUAUUGACUGUCACGCCUGUACGCUUGGUCAUAUUGACACAAAAAUUGACACACAUAUGUAUCUCAAUAAGAUCUACAAGAAAGUCAAUGCGCGCAUAUCUGUCAAAUGUACGGUUAAAGGGUUAUUUCGCAUUUUUUGCCGAUCCGCACACAUUGGAAUUUCGCUAACUCCUCCGAAGGCUUUCGUUCCACCGGCACCACAUUUGCUCAGGCCAAUCUACACCCCGUGGCCAUUAAAAGUUAUCAAAAUCAUGACGCUGCACCCCAAGGUUUAGGUUCUAGGGGGCGCCAAAGAUAACACUAAAAUCCACAUAUUUAAAAGUCUUAUAACUUUUUAUUUUUGUCCUCACUGGCCUCCAAGUUUUCUAGGAUGAUGCAAUGUCCAGCCAUCAACACAUUUGUGAAGGAAUUUUUACUCCCCAAAAGAGCGCCCCCCCAUGGCAGGAGAAAAAAGUCCAUUUUUUCUUGUCCCCUAAGGUGAAAAUACACAUUGUUGAGUGUCACGCCUAUACGCUUUGUCAAAAUGACACAAAAAUUGACACACACAUGUAACUCAAUAAGAUCUACGAAAAAGUCAAUGCGCGCGUAUCUGUCAAAUGUACGGUUAAAGGGUUAUUCCGCAUUUUUUGCCGAUCCGCACAUAUUGGAAUGUGGCUAACUCCUCCUAAGGCUUUCGUUCCACCGGCACCACAUUUGCUCAGGCCAAUCUACACCCCAUGGCCAUUAAAAGUUAUCAAAAUCAUGACGCUGCACCCCACGGUUUAGGUUCUAGGGGGCGCCAAAGAUAACCCUAAAAUCCACAUAUUUAAAAGUCUUAUAACUUUUUAUUUUUGUCCUCACUGGCCUCCAAGUUUUCUAGGAUGAUGCAAUGUCCAGCCAUCAACACAUUUGUGAAGGAAUUUUUACUCCCCAAAAGAGCGCCCCCCAUGGCAGGAGAAAAAAGUCCAUUUUUUCUUGUCCCUUAAGGUGAAAAUACAUAUUGUUGAGAUUCACGCCUAUACGCUUUGUCAUAUUGACACAAAAUUUGACAAUCACGUGCCUUGCCUGGUAUCAUUUUUUUCAGCACAACCUCACCUGUGCGAAUUUACAGUUAUUUUAUCAUGUUGACAUACUGAAUUUACACAAUGGACCCAAAUUCACACACAAAACAUAAAAUCCGAGUGGAAAAAAGUAACAUUUUUACUGUGAAAACCACAAAUAUGUGUGAUGAACUGUUUUUAAAACUUAAACUUCAAAUAAAAAUUGUAAACUUCAAAAAAUAUGCAAAUUUUUAACAAAGAACAUAGUGAUUUACCUCUAUUUACAUCAAAAUGCAGGCAAUGGCCCAGGCGUUCUUUGUAAAAUUAUUUACAAAACACUGUAUAGUCUCACAAAUGUCACUUUUUAUUUAUGCCACUACAAAAAAACAUGAUGUAAAUGAUGCAUGAUGUAAAACAUGAUGUAAAAAACUUUUGUAGAUCCUCCUCUAUGUCAGUCCAUGUGUAAUUUUUCCAUAAUUCUUUGUUUUUUGCAGCAUUUUUGUUAGUGUAACUGCAGAUUGUGCUGACAGUGUCUAUGGCACACAAAAAAAAAAAAUUAAAAUGCCUCAACAUGAACCCCUGGUGGUCUCUGAGGGUGAAACCUGCUAACUGCUGCAGCUCUGUCAGCUUCAGUCUCCCAUGCAGAGCUCGGAGCGCAUGUGUGGCUCUGCACCCUUAGCAGCGUUGCUAACUCCUCAGUAAGGAAAGCCUGCUUCAUGUCAGAGUCUCUAAACUCCAGAAGAAGUCGAUAAAAGUCCCUUUGUUUCAAAAAAAAAGUCGUUAGGGGGUCUGAAAAGUCAUUGAAUCUAACAACAAAGUCGCUAGGUUUGCAACUACGUGUCCCAGACUGCAUCCUUGCUGAGAGUCCCUCCCUCCCUUCUCAUGUUGCAGGAAGAACGUAAGCGCCCGCCCCUUGUCAAUCAGUCACCAUAUAAUUUUGGAUUGGUUGUUGUGGUGAAGUUUUCCACCAAUAGGAGAGAUGUUGUGGUGUGUUUUUUUUUUCUUUUGGCAAGCCUUUUCCGCCUGUAAGACCUGUCGCUAAUGUCUGCAUGCUAUGUUUUCCUGUCUCAUACAGCGCGAUCGAGCGCCGAACGUGAUCAAAAUAAGCAGAAAAAAAGUAUCGCGGACAUAAUUUAUCAUAACUCUGGUUUUAUUUGGCCUAUCAACACAAUUUAAAAACUGGUAUAUAGGUUGAGGUCCUCACUUUUGAGAUAAGUUGAAACGGAGAGUCAACGAGGCUCCGUCUUGCAGCUACAUCCGGUUAAAUAUGUCAUGUGACUUGAACGCACACACAGACACACACACACGCACACACACACACACACACACACACACACACACACACACACACACACACACACACACACUCAGAGUCUGGUUUUUAGCACCUGCAAAAACAUGCUAUUUACAUAUUUGACAAGAAUGCAGAGGCUCCUUUUGCCCCUGAAAAAAAUCAAAUUUCAAACACAACUUGACUGCUCAUUUCUCCAAAAGACAACCAUGAAGCUCCAUCCAAACCUGAAGCAGGCAGUUGGUGCAUGUGUACAGUAACCUGAGGGGAGUGAGGUGAGUGCUUCUGAGGAGAACAUGAGCAGUGAAGAUUCACCUUGGAGCUAGAACAGAGACAUGCACAUGAUUAUACAGGGGCAGGGGCUCAAGUUUUUUCCAGUCGUUUAUACAAUAUGGAAAUUAAUGUGAAAUUAAAACACAAAGUAUUAAUAGAAAGGUAAUGACUGUCCUGUGUAGGUGACAGUGAUAUCCAAUAGGCUAGGCACUCACGAGGCUGGCUGUGGCAAGUGUAAGUGAAAGCAACACGCACUGGCAGGAAGAACAGCAAACGCCGAUGAAGGAAAAGGGUCUUUGCAGUGAUGGGCGUUACCAGAGAGGGCGAUGGCCAGAGGACACAAAUGGGACGGGAAGGCAGCACGUUGGGGGGGGGGGGGGGACGCGACACGGCUCGGGCCCGCCAGUGCCCCAACGGGGUCCUAGUUAUUAUUUUUCCUCCGCUUUAAACUGGAAAAUGGCCCACUUCCCACUGGCGAAAACUCAUGAAAUAUGGCAGGACGACCGGGCCUGGUGAAAAAUUCGAUAUUCUGAAGUCGCCCAAACAAGAAAAUGCAAAAUGGCUCAAUAGCGCCCCCUAAGGUGAAAAUUCACACUAUUGACUGUCACGCCUGUACGCUUUGUCAUAUUGACACAAAAAUUGACACACACAUGUAUCUCAAUAAGAUCUACAAAAAAGUCAGUGCGGGCUGUCUGUCAAAUGUACGGUUAAAGGGUUAUUUCGCAUUUUUUGCCGUUCCGCACACAUUGGAAUUUCGCUACCUCCUCCGAAGGCUUUCGUUCCACCAGCACUACAUUUGCUCAGGCCAAUCUACACCCCAUGGCCAUUGAAAGUUGUACAAAUCAUGACGCUGCACCCCACGGUUUACGUUCUAGGGGGCGCCAAAGAUAACCCACAAAUCCACAUUCUUAAAAAUCUUAUAACUUUUUAUUUUUGUCCUCAUUGGCCUCCAAGUUUUCUAGGAUGAUGCAAUGUCCAGCCAUCAACACAUUUGUGAAGGAAUUUUUACUCCCCAAAACAGCGCCCCCCCAUGGCAGGACAAAAAAGGCCAUUUUUUCUUGUCCCCUAAGGUGAAAAUACACAUUGUUCAGUGUCACGCCUAUACGCUUUGUCAUAUUGACACAAAAUUUGACACACACGUGUAUCUCAAUAAGAUCUACGAGAAAGUCAAUGUGCGCGUAUCUGUAAAAUGUACGGUUAAAGGGCUAUCUUGCAUUUUUUGCCGAUUCGCACACAUUGGAAUGUGGCUGACUCCUCCUAAGGCUUUCGUUCUACUGACACCAAAUUUGCUCAGGCCAAUCUACACCCCAUGGCCAUUCAAAGUUGUACAAAUCAUGACGCUGCACCCCACGGUUUAGGUUCUAGGGGGCGCCAAAGAUGACCCAAAUAUCCACAUUUUUAAAAGUCUUAUAACUUUUUAUUUUUGUCCUCACUGGCUUCCAAGUUUUCUAGGAUGAUGCAAUGUGCAGCCAUCAACACAUCUGUGAAGGAAUUUUUUCUCCCCAAAAGAGCGCCCCCCCCCCCAUGGCAGGAGAAAAAGUCAAGUUUUUCCAGCCCAUCGCUUAAUAGCUCAAACGCAUUGCUCUCCCGCUAAAACCAAAAGGAGGAGCAACUUGCCAUUUGGAUAUGUCCUAGCUGUGUUUGUGCCCUCACUCAUGGUCCAGAGUUUUUUCAAAUAGGACAUGUAGUUUGUCUGCAGCGAGCGUUUUGGUAGAAACUGUGCCUCCCAUUCAUUAUAAUGGGAAAUGACCAAAGACAGGUGCGCACACCAUUUUUGGACCUUGACUUUGACGUCACAGUUUGAGAUACAAAUGUUAUUUGACCUCUGACCUUUGGUGGACACCCUAACCUUUCAACCCGCGAAAACGGCGUUUCAAUAGCUCUUACGGCUUUCCUACAAAUACACUUUGUUCAGCUACUCCUACUGUCCUUUAAGCUCUGCUUCUCAGAUCAUCAAAGAGUGUGCACGUGUGUAAUGAGCGCAUAUUGAAUGUUAAUUAUGUUAAAUAUGUUAAUUAUUAGAAGAAAAAACAACAACAGUCCUUUUGGACAAAAUUUCUUUUUAUUACAGAAUUAGAAUAAUGGAAGCAUAGUCCAAGGAAACCAUUCAAGUGAUGUCAUACCUCAUAAUUUAUUGAGAUGUUGGCUAGUCUGGGCAUUUCUUCAUUCAUCAGGUUUCCUGCAUGCAUACUAACAGAGCACAUCAGUAGCAGUGAGUGAUAAGUAUGAGUGUGUCAUUGUGUAAGAAAGAAAGUGGUUUACUUACACAUCCAUAGAAAAUAGGUGGUUGAGCACAGCACGCAAACAAAGCUUUGCCACAACGGUUGAACUUCCCAAGUAGCUGAUACCAAGGUCACACAAUCAUGGUGAGCAAAGGUCAAACCAGGCCAGGCACUCACGAGGCUGGCUGUGGCAAGUGUAAGUGAAAGCAACACGCAAUGGCAGGAAGAACAGCAAACACCGAUGAAGGAAAAGGGUCUUUGCAGUGAUGGGCGUCACCAGAGAGGGCGAUGGCCAGAGGGCACGAAUGGGACGGGGAGGCGGUCGCGCUAGGGGCGGCGCGACGCGGCUCGGGCCCGCCAGUGCCCCAACGGGGCCCUAGUGUUAUUAUUAGGGCCCGAGCGUAGCUGCUAAGCAGCUGCGAGAGCCCUCUUGUUCCUGAUGGAUUCUUCUUUCGUUAUUAUUAUUAGGGCCCGAGCGUAGCUGCUAAGCAGCUGCGAGAGCCCUCUUGUUCCUGAUGGAUUCUUCUUUCGUUAUUAUUAGGGCCCGAGCGUAGCUGCUAAGCAGCUGCGAGAGCCCUCUUGUUCCUGAUGGAUUCUUCUUUUGUUAUUAUUAUUAUUAUUAUUAUUAUUAUUUUUCCUCCGCUUUAAACUGGAAAAUGGCCCACUUCCCACUGGCGAAAACUCAUGAAAUUUGGCAGGACGACCGGGCCUGGUGAAAAAUUCGAUAUUCUGAAGUCGCCCAAACAAUAAAAUGCAAAAUGGCUCCAUAGCGCCCCCUAAGGUGAAAAUUCACACUAUUUACUGUCACGCCUUUACGCUUUGUCAUAUUGACACAAAAAUUGACACACACAUGUAUCUCAAUAAGAUCUACAAAAAAGUCAGUGCAGGCGUAUCUGUCAAAUGUACGGUUAAAGGGUUAUUUCGCAUUUUUUGCCGAUCCGCACACAUUGGAAUUUCGCUAACUCCUCCGAAGGCUUUCGUUCCAACGGCACCAAAUUUGCUCAGGCCAAUCUACACCCCAUGGCCAUUAAAAGUUGUACAAAUCAUGACGCUGCACCCCACGGUUUACGUUCUAGGGGGCGCCAAAGAUAACCCAAAAAUCCACAGUCUUAAAAGUCUUAUAACUUUUUAUUUUUGUCCUCACUGGCCUCCAAGUUCUCUAGGAUGAUGCAAUGUCCAGCCAUCAACACAUUUGUGAAGGAAUUUUUACUCCCCAAAAGAGCGCCCCCCCAAUGGCAGGAGAAAAAAGUCCAUUUUUUCUUGUCUCCUAAGGCGAAAAUACACAUUGUUGAGUGUCACGCCUUUACGCUUUGUCAAAAUGACACAAAAAUUGACACACACAUGUAUCUCAAUACGAUCUACGAAAAAGUCAAUGCGAGCGUAACUGUUCAAUGUAAAGGGCUAUUUCGCAUUUUUUGCCGAUUCGCACACAUUGGAAUGUGGCUGACUCCUCCUAAAGCUUUUGUCCCAUCGGCUUCAAAUUUGCUCAGGUCAAUCUACACCCCAUGGCCAUUCAAAGUUGUACAAAUCAUGACGCUGCACCCCACGGUUUACGUUCUAGGGGGCUCCAAAGAGGACCCAAAUAUCCACAUUUUUAAAAAUCUUAUAACUUUUUAUUUUUGUCCUCACUGGCCUCCAAGUUCUCUAGGAUGAUGCAAUGUCCAGCCAUCAACACAUUUGUGAAGGAAUUUUUACUCCCCAAAAGAGCGCCCCCCCAAUGGCAGGAGAAAAAAGUCCAUUUUUUCUUGUCUCCUAAGGCGAAAAUACACAUUGUUGACUGUCACGCCUUUACGCUUUGUCAAAAUGACACAAAAAUUGACACACACAUGUAUCUCAAUACGAUCUACGAAAAAGUCAAUGCGAGCGUAUCUGUUCAAUGUAAAGGGCUAUUUCGCAUUUUUUUCCGAUUCGCACACAUUGGAAUGUGGCUGACUCCUCCUAAAGCUUUUGUCCCAUCGGCUUCAAAUUUGCUCAGGUCAAUCUACACCCCAUGGCCAUUCAAAGUUGUACAAAUCAUGACGCUGCACCCCACGGUUUACGUUCUAGGGGGUGCCAAAGAUGACCCAAAUAUCCACAUUUUUAAAAGUCUUAUAACUUUUUAUUUUUGUCCUCACUGGCCUCCAAGUUUUCUAGGAUGAUGCAUUGUCCAGCCAUCAACACAUUUGUGAAAGAAUUUUUUCUCCCCAAAAGAGCGCCCCCCCAUGGCAGGAGAAAAAGUCAAGUUUUUCCUGCCCAUCGCUCAAUGGCUCAAACGCAUCUCUCUCUCGGCAAAACGGAAAGGAGGAGCAACUUGCCAUUUGGAUAUGUACUAGCUGUGUUUGUGCCCUCACUCAUGGUCCAGACUUUUUUCAAAAAGGACAUGGAGUUUGUCUGCAGCGAGCGUUUUGGUAGAAACUGCGCCUCCCAUUCAUUAUAAUGGUAAAUGACCACAGACAAGUGCGCACACCAUCUUUGGACCUUGAGUGUGACGCGAUCGGGAGGGGUAGGCGGUCGCGCUGGGGGCGGCGCGACACGGCUCGGGCCCGCCAGUGCCCCAACGGGGCCCUAGUGUUAUUAUUAUUAUUUUUCCUCCGCUUUAAACUGGAAAAUGGCCCACUUCCCACUGGCGAAAACUCAUGAAAUUUGGCAGGACGACCGGGCCUGGUGAAAAAUUCGAUAUUCUGAAGUCGCCCAAACAAGAAAAUGCAAAAUGGCUCAAAAGCGCCCCCAAAGGUGAAAAUUCACACUAUUGACUGUCACGCCUGUACGCUUUGUCAUAUUGACACAAAAAUUGACAGACACAUGUAUCUCAAUAAGAUCUACAAAAAAGUCAGUGCGGGCGUAUCUGUCAAAUGUACGGUUAAAGGGUUAUUUCGCAUUUUUUGCCGUUCCGCACACAUUGGAAUGUGGCUAACUCCUCCGAAGGCUUUCGUUCCACCAGCACUACAUUUGCUCAGGCCAAUCUACACCCCAUCACUUUUUAUUUUUGUCCUCACUGGCCUCCAAGUUUUCUAGGAUGAUGCAAUGUCCAGCCAUCAACACAUUUGUGAAGGAAUUUUUACUCCUUAAAAGAGCGCCCCCCCAUGGCAGGAGAAAAAAAUCAAUUUUUUCUUGUCCCAUAAGGUGAAAAUACACAUUGUUCAGUGUCACGCCUGUACGCUUUGUCUUAUUGACACAAAAUUUAACAAUCACGUGUAUCUCAAUAAGAUCUACGAAGAAGUCAAUGCGCACGUAUCUGUAAAAUGUACGGUUAAAGGUCUAUUUUGCAUUUUGUGCCGAUUCGCACACAUUGGAAUGCGGCUAACUCCUCCUAAAGCUUUCGUCCCACCUACACCAAAUUUGCUCAGGCCAAUCUACACCCCAUGGCCAUUCAAAGUUGUACAAAUCAUGACGCUGCACCCCACGGUUUAGGUUCUAGGGGGCGCCAAAGAGGACCCAAAUAUCCACAUUUUUAAAAGUCUUAUAACUUUUUUUUUUUGUCCUCACUGGCCUCCAAGUUUUCUAGGAUGAUGCAAUGUCCAGCCAUCAACACAUUUGGGAAGGAAUUUUUACUCCCCAAAAGAGCGCCCCCCCAUGGCAGGAGAAAAAGUCAAGUUUUUCCUGCCCAUCGCUCAAUGGCUCAAACGCAUCGCUCUCUCGGCAAAACCGAAAGGAGGAGCAACUUGCCAUUUGGAUAUAUACUAGCUGUGUUUGUGCCCUCACUCAUGGUCCAGACUUUUUUCAAAAAGGACAUGGAGUUUGUCUGCAGCAAGCGUUUUGGUAGAAACUGCGCCUCCCAUUCAUUAUAAUGGUAAAUGACCACAGACAAGUGCGCACACCAUCUUUGGACCUUGAGUGUGACGCAAUCGGGAGGGGUAGGCGGUCGCGCUGGGGGCGGCGCGACACGGCUCGGGCCCGCCAGUGCCCCACCGGGGCACUAGUUAUUAUUUUUCCUCCGCUUUAAACUGGAAAAUGGCCCACUUCCCACUGGCGAAAACUCAGGAAAUUUGGCAGGACGACCGGGCCUGGUGAAAAAUUCGAUAUUCUGAAGUCUCCCAAACAAGAAAAUGCAAAAUGGCUCCAUAGCGCCCCCUAAGGUGAAAAUUCACACUAUUGACUGUCACGCAUGUACGCUUUGUCAUAUUGACACAAAAAUUGACACACACAUGUAUCUCAAUAAGAUCUACAAAAAAGUCAGUGCGGGCGUAUCUGUCAAAUGUAUGGUUAAAGGGUUAUUUCGCUUUUUUUGCAGAUCCGCACACAUUGGAAUUUCGCUAACUCCUCCGAAGGUUUUCGUUCCACCAGCACCACAUUUGCUCAGGCCAAUCUACACCCCAUGGCCAUUCAAAGUUGUACAAAUCAUGACGCUGCACCCCACGGUUUACGUUCUAGGGGGCGCCAAAGAUAACCCAAAAAUCCACAGUCUUAAAAGUCUUAUAACUUUUUAUUUUUGUCCUCACUGGCCUCCAAGUUCUCUAGGAUGAUGCAAUGUCCAGCCAUCAACACAUUUGUGAAGGAAUUUUUACUCCCCAAAAGAGCGCCCCCCCAUGGUAGGAGAAAAAAGUCAAUUUUUUCUUGUCCCCUUACAUGAAAAUACACAUUGUUGAGUGUCACGCCUGAACGCUUUGUCAUAUUGACAAAAAAUUUGACACACACAUGUAUCUCAAUAAGAUCUACGAAAAAGUCAAUGCACGCGUAUCUGUAAAAUGUACGGCUAAACGGCUAUUUUGCAUUUUUUGCCGAUUCGCACACAUUGGAAUGUGGCUAACUCCUCCUAAGGCUUUCGUCCCACUGACACCAAUUUUGCUCAGGCCAAUCUACACCCCAUGGCCAUUCAAAGUUGUAAAAAUCAUGCCGUUGCACCCCACGGUCUACGUUCUAGGGGGCGCCAAAGAGGACCCAAAUAUCCACAUUUUUAAAAGUCUUAUAACUUUUUAUUUUUGUCCUCACUGGCCUCCAAGUUUUCUAGGAUGAUGCAAUGUCCAGCCAUCAACACAUUUGUGAAGGAAUUUUUUCUCCCCAAAAGAGCACCCCCCCAUGGCAGGAGAAAAAGUCAAGUUUUUCCUGCCCACCGCUCAAUGGCUCAAACGCAUCACUCUCUCGGCAAAACCGAAAGGAGGAGCAACUUGCCAUUUGGAUAUAUACUAGCUGUGUUUGUGCCCUCACUCAUGGUCCAGACUUUUUUCAAAAAGGACAUGGAGUUUGUCUGCAGCAAGCGUUUUGGUAGAAACUGCGCCUCCCAUUCAUUAUAAUGGUAAAUGACCACAGACAAGUGCGCACACCAUCUUUGGACCUUGAGUGUGACGCGAUCGGGAGGGGUAGGCGGUCGCGCUGGGGGCGGCGCGACACGGCUCGGGCCCGCCAGUGCCCCACCGGGGCCCUAGUUCUUUCUUUCUUUCUUCUUAUUUUUCCUCCCCUUUGAAGGGGAAAAUGGCCCACUUCCCACUGGCGAAAACUCAGGAAAUUUGGCAGGACGACCGGGCCUGGUGAAAAAUUCGAUAUUCUGAAGUCGCCCAAACAAUAAAAUGCAAAAUGGCUCCAUAGCGCCCCCUAAGGUGAAAAUUCACCCUAUUGACUGUCACGCCAGUACGCUUUGUCAUAUUGACACAAAAUUUGACACACACAUGUAUCUCAAUAAGAUCUACAAAAAAGUCAGUGCGGGCGUAUCUGUCAAAUGUACGGUUAAAGGGUUAUUAGGGCCCGAGCGUAGCUGCUAAGCAGCUGCGAGAGCCCUCUUGUUCCUGAUGGAUUCUUCUUUCGUUAUUUUUCCUCCGCUUUAAACUGGAAAAUGGCCCACUUCCCACUGGCGAAAACUCAGGAAAUUUGGCAGGACGACCGGGCCUGGUGAAAAAUUCGAUAUUCUGAAGUCGCCCAAACAAAAAAAUGAAAAAUGGCUCCAUAGCGCCCCCUAUGGUGAAAACUCACCUGACACCUGUACGCUUUGUCAAAAUGACACAAAAUUUGACACACAUGUGUAUCUCAAUAAGAUCUACAAAAAAGUCAGUGCGGGCGUAUCUGUCAAAUGUACCGUUAAAGGGCUAUUUCGCAUUUUUCGCUGAUCCGCACACAUUGGAAUUUCGCUAACUCCUCCGAAGGCUUUCGUUCCACCGGCACCAAAUUUGCUCAGGCCAAUCUACACCCCAUGGCCAUUAAAAGUUGUACAAAUCAUGACGCUGCACCCCACGGUUUACGUUCUAGGGGGCGCCAAAGAUAACCCAAAAAUCCACAUUCUUAAAAGUCUUAUAACUUUUUAUUUUUGUCCUCACUGGCCUCCAAGUUUUUCUAGGAUGAUGCAAUGUCCAGCCAUCAACACAUUUGUGAAGAAAUUUUUACUCCCCAAAAGAGCGCCCCCCAUGGCAGGAGAAAAAAGUCCAUUUUUUCUUGUCCCCUAAGGUGAAAAUACACAUUGUUGAGUGUCAUGCCUGAACGCUUUGUCAUAUUGACACAAAAUUUGACACACACGUGUAUCUCAAUAAGAUCUACGAAAAAGUCAAAGAGCGCGUAUCUGUAUAAUGUACGGUUAAAGGGCUAUUUCGCAUUUUUUGCCGAUCCGCACACAUUGGAAUUUCGCUAACUCCUCCGAAGGCUUUCGUUCCACCGGCACAACAUUUGCUCAGGCCAAUCUACACCCCAUGGCCAUUAAAAGUUGUACAAAUCAUGACGCUGCACCCCACGGUUUAGGUUCUAGGGGGCGCCAAAGAUAACCCAAAAAUCCACAUUCUUAAAAGUCUUAUAACUUUUUAUUUUUGUCCUCACUGGCCUCCAAGUUUUCUAGGAUGAUGCAAUGUCCAGCCAUCAACACAUUUGUGAAGGAAUUUUUACUCCCCAAAAGAGCGCCCCCCCAUGGCAGGAGAAAAAAGUCCAUUUUUUCUUGUCCCAUAAGGUGAAAAAACACAUUGUUGAGUGUCACGCCUCUACGCUUUGUCAAAAUGACACAAAAUUUGACAAUCACGUGUAUCUCAAUAAGAUCUAUGAAAAACUCAUGCGCAAAUAUCUGUAAAAUGUACGGUUAAAGGGCUAUUUUGCAUUUUUUGCCGAUUCGCACACAUUGGAAUGUGGCUAACUCCUCCUAAGGCUUUCGUCCCACUGACACCAAAUUUGCUCAGGCCAAUCUACACCCCAUGGCCAUUCAAAGUUGUAAAAAUCAUGACGCUGCACCCCACGGUUUACGUUCUAGGGGGUGCCAAAGAUGACCCAAAUAUCCACAUUCUUAAAAGAAUCCACAUCCCCCCCUCCCCCCAUGGCAGGAGAAAAAGUCAAGUUUUUCCUGCCCAUCGCUCAAUGGCUCAAUCGCAUCGCUCUCUCGGCAAAAGCGAAAGGAGGAGCAACUUGCCAUUUGGAUAUAUCCUAGCUGUGUUUGUGCCCUCACUCAUGGUCCAGACUUUUUUCAAAUAGGACAUGUAGUUUGUCUGCAGCGAGUGUUUUGGUAGAAACUGCGCCUCCCAUUCAUUAUAAUGGGAAAUAACCACAGACAAGUGCGCACUCCAUCUUUGGACCUAGAGUGUGACGCGAUCGGGAGGUGGAGGCAGUCGCGCUGGGGGCGGCGUGACGCGGCUCGGGCCCGACAGUGCCCCACCGGGGCCCUAGUUUUGCAUUUUUUGCCGACCCGCACACAUUGGAAUUUCACUAACUCCUCCGAAGGCUUUCGUUCCACCAGCACCACAUUUGCUCAGGCCAAUCUACACCCCAUGGCCAUUCAAAGUUGUACAAAUCAUGACGCUGCACCCCACGGUUUACGUUCUAGGGGGCGCCAAAGAUAACCCAAAAAUCCACAGUCUUAAAAGUCUUAUAACUUUUUAUUUUUGUCCUCACUGGCCUCCAAGUUCUCUAGGAUGAUGCAAUGUCCAGCAAUUAACACAUUUGUGAAGGAAUUUUUACUCGCCAAAAGAGCGCCCCCCCCAUGGCAGGAGAAAAAAGUCCAUUUUUUCUUGUCCCCUAAGGCGAAAAUACACAUUGUUGAGUGUCACGCCUGUACGCUUUGUCAUAUUGACACAAAAUUUGACAAUCACGUGUAUCUCAAUAAGAUCUACGAAAAAGUCAAUGUGCGCGUAUCUGUAAAAUGUACGGUUAAAGGGCUAUUUCGCAUUUUUGGCCGAUCCGCACACAUUGGAAUGCGGCUAACUCCUCCUAAGGCUUUCGUUCCACUGACACCAAAUUUGCUCAGGCCAAUCUACACCCCAUGGCCAUUCAGAGUUGUAAAAAUCAUGACGCUGCACCCCACAGUUUACGUUCUAGGGGGCGCCAAAGAGGACCCAAAUAUCCACAUUUUUAAAAGUCUUAUAACUUUAUUUUUGUCCUCACUGGCCUCCAAGUUUUCUAGGAUGAUGCAAUGUUCAGCCAUCAACACAUUUGUGAAGGAAUUUUUUCUCCCCAAAUGAGGGCCCCCCCCCAUGGCAGGAGAAAAAGUCAAGUUUUUCCUGCCCAUCGCUCAAUGGCUCAAACGCAUCGCUCUCUCGGCAAAACCGAAAUGAGGAGCACCUUGCCAUUUGGAUAUAUACUAGCUGUGUUUGUGCCCUCACUCAUGGUCCAGACUUUUUUCAAAAAGGACAUGGAGUUUGUCUGCAGCGAGCGUUUUGGUAGAAACUGCGCGUCCCAUUCAUUAUAAUGGAAAUGACCACAGACAAGUGCGCACACCAUCUUUGGACCUUGAGUGUGACUCGAUCAGGAGGGGGAGGCGGUCGCGCUGGGGGUGGCGCGACACGGCUCGGGCCCGCCAGUGCCCCAACGGGGCCCUAGUUAGGGCCCGAGCGUAGCUGCUAAGCAGCUGCGAGAGCCCUCUUGUUCCUGUAGUUUCCUUCUUUUGUUAUUAUUAUUAUUUUUCCUCCCCUUUGAACUGGAAAAUGGCCCACUUCCCACUGGCGAAAACUCAUGAAAUUUGGCAGGACGACCGGGCCUGGUGAAAAAUUUGAUAUUCCGAAGUCGCCCAAACAAGAAAAUGCAAAAUGGCUCCAUAGCGCCCCCUAAGGUGAAAAUUCACACUAUUCACUGUCACGCCUGUACGCUUUGUCAAAAUGACACAAAAAUUGACACACACAUGUAUCUCAAUAAGAUCUACAAAAAAGUCAGUGCGGGCGUAUCUGUCAAAUGUACGGUUAAAGGGUUAUUUCGCAUUUUUUGCCGAUCCGCACACAUUGGAAUUUCGCUAACUCCUCCGAAGGCUUUCGUUCCACCGGCACCACAUUUGCUCAGGCCAAUCUACACCCCAUGGCCAUUAAAAGUUAUUCAAAUCAUGACGCUGCACCCCACGGUUUAGGUUCUAGGGGGCGCCAAAGAUAACCCUAAGAUCCACAUAUUUAAAAGUCUUAUAACUUUUUAUUUUUGCCCUCACUGGCCUCCAAGUUUUCUAGGAUGAUGCAAUGUCCAGCCAUCAACACAUUUGUGAAGGAAUUUUUACUCCCCAAAAGAGCGCCCCCCCAUGGCCGGAGAAAAAAGUCCAUUUUUUCUUGUCCCCUAAGGUGAAAAUACACAUUGUUGAGUGUAACACCUGUACGCUUUGGCAAAAUGACACAAAAAUUGACACACACAUGUAUCUCAAUAAGAUCUACGAAAAAGUCAAUGCGCGCGUAUCUGUCAAAUGUACGGUUAAAGGGUUAUUCCGCAUUUUUUGCCGAUCCGCACACAUUGGAAUUUCGCUAACUCCUCCGAAGGCUUUCGUUCCACCGGCACCACAUUUGCUCAGGCCAAUCUACACCCCAUGGCCAUUAAAAGUUAUUCAAAUCAUGAUGCUGCACCCCACGGUUUAGGUUCUAGGGGGCGCCAAAGAUAACCGUAAAAUCCACAUAUUUAAAAGUCUUAUAACUUUUUAUUUUUGUCCCCACUGGCCUCCAAGUUUUCUAGGAUGAUGCAAUGUCCAGCCAUCAACACAUUUGUGAAGGAAUUUUUACUCGCCAAAAGAGCGCCCCCCCAUGGCAGGAGAAAAAAGUCAAUUUUUUCUUGUCCACUAAGGUGAAAAUACACAUUGUUGAGUGCUACGCCUGUAUGUUUUGUCGUAUUGACACAAAAUUUUACAUACACGUGUAUUUCAAUAAGAUCUUCGAAAAAGUCAAUGGCCACGUAUCUGUAAAAUGUACGGUUAAAGGGUUAUUUCGCAUUUUUUGCAGAUUCGCACACAUUGGAAUUUCGCUAAUUCCUCCGAAGGCUUUCGUUCCACCGGCACCACAUUUGCUCAGGCCAAUCUACACCCCAUGGCCAUUAAAAGUUAUUCAAAUCAUGACGCUGCACCCCACGGUUUAGGUUCUAGGGGGCGCCAAAUAUAAC
Molecule: non-coding RNA, 17585 nt
Organism: Xyrichtys novacula (pearly razorfish)
Lineage: Eukaryota; Metazoa; Chordata; Actinopteri; Labriformes; Labridae
Source: the annotation of a GenBank genome assembly